This 253-nucleotide ribosomal RNA is filed under the name uncultured bacterium. Its description in RNAcentral is "partial 16S ribosomal RNA". It matches the Rfam family "Bacterial small subunit ribosomal RNA", at positions 524 to 776 of the family's 1533-position model. The record is from RNAcentral.
UACGUAGGGGGCAAGCGUUGUCCGGAAUCAUUGGGCGUAAAGCGCGUGUAGGCGGCUUGGUAAGUCCGCUCUGAAAGCCCGGGGCUCAACCCCGGGAGGCGGGUGGAUACUGUCAAGCUCGAGUCCGGAAGAGGCGAGUGGAAUUCCUGGUGUAGCGGUGAAAUGCGUAGAUAUCAGGAGGAACACCUGCGGUGUAGACGGCUUUCUGGACCAUUACUGACACUGAGACACGAAAGCGUGGGUAGCAAACAGG